ACAGCAGCCGCCACGGUAAUACGAAGGGGGCUAGCGUUGUUCGGAUUUACUGGGCGUAAAGGGUGCGUAGGCGGAUUGUUAAGUCAGGGGUGAAAUCCCAAGGCUCAACCUCGGAACUGCCUUUGAUACUGGCGAUCUUGAGUGUGGGAGAGGCGAGUGGAAUGGUCGGUGUAGCGGUGAAAUGCGUAGAUAUCGAUCGGAACACCCAUGGCGAAGGCAGCUCGCUGGCCUAUAACUGACGCUGAGGCGCGAAAGCGUGAGGAGCAAACAGGAUUAGAUACCCCGGUAGUCCCUGUCUCUUAUAC
RNAcentral lists this ribosomal RNA (305 nucleotides) under uncultured bacterium. RNAcentral's name for it is "partial 16S ribosomal RNA". It matches the Rfam family "Bacterial small subunit ribosomal RNA", at positions 508 to 807 of the family's 1533-position model. The record is from RNAcentral.